RNAcentral lists this long non-coding RNA (1081 nucleotides) under Scleropages formosus (Asian bonytongue). RNAcentral's name for it is "lncRNA (ENSSFOG00015028638.1)". Lineage: Eukaryota; Metazoa; Chordata; Actinopteri; Osteoglossiformes; Osteoglossidae. The record is from RNAcentral.
ACGAUCUCUGGAUUCAGCCUCCUCCGUGUCCUCUGUUCAAAAAACCCCUCUGUCCAGAAUACCUGCCUGUCCACAAAAAAAAGUGUCCCGUUCCCUCCACAGAUAGAACCUAACUGUCCCGUUGAAAUUAAGACCUCAGAGGGAGGCGUCUUGUUGACUGCAGGGUUUCCAAUCACCAUGGCAACGCGUGUCCGGGCGGCUGGUCAGUUAUCGGUCUUGUCACACGGGAGUAACGCGCAUGAUCGCAGAGUUGAGAGAAAAUCUGCAAUCGAUUAUUGGGGUUUAAAGACAUUACCGGCGAUUAUUGUAUAACCACAUGACUUGAUAUAAAAGACGCGAUACGGACAUUUGAUCAUUUAAAACAACUUUAAGUUGUGUUCGAUCCAGUGAGAAUUUUCUUGAAUCACAUAACUCAUUAACACAAAACCUAAAAAUUCACAAAGAAAGCUAAUUAGAGUUGUACUGACCACGAAAUUAAAUAUUCGCGAUUCUGUUACUAUCAUGGCUAAUUUACACAGUGUUCCUGAAACUUUUAAACUCGUCGGUGUGUCUAUAUGUGUGUGUGGAGAUAAUACACUUACAAAUGUUGGUAACAAGAAUUGUCCACAAACUGUUCGUUUUCACUUCAAGGUGUGAACAGUGUGAAUCAAAGUAAAACAAUGUGACCUGUAACACAGCCUCUCGUUUUCGUACGGGUGCUUAUCACAGUGUGUAUUAUAGUAGUAGUUAUUACGGUGACACUAUGACAGACGCCAUAACAAAAACCCGAGUGUCCUAAAAAACCCUCUGUCUAUAAUACCUGGCUGUCUACAAAAACACAGUGUCCCGUUUCCUCCACUGAUGGCACCUAAUGGGUCCUGUAGGAAAUAAGCCUUCAGGGGAGGCGUCCUGCUGACCACAGGUGAGGUUUUCCAAUCACCAUGGCAACGUGUCUCCAGGCGGCCGGUCGAUGUCGGUUCUUGUCAAAUGGGGGUUACGCGCAUGAUCGCAAGUUGAGAGAAAGUCUGCACUCAAUUACACUGGUCGAAAGCGAAAGUGUUUCCGAAAUAAAUACGUAGUUGCACUUUACUAUAUCUGAGUG